AUAGGAGUGCAAAAUAGGAGGAUUUGCAUGACAAACCUCCCAUUUUACAUACAGUGGCCAGCCAUCAUGUUGUUGUAGACAAAAUGUACACUUGAUAUCCAUAAUUUAUGGUACAAAUUGAUACAAAUUGAUAAUAGGUUAGGUAAAUGUUCCAUGAUAAUAGGUUAGGUAAAUGUUCCAUGAUAAUAGGUUAGGUAAAUGUUCCAUGAUAAUGGGUUAGGUAAAUGUUUCAUGAUAAUGGGUUAGGUAAAUGUUUCAUGAUAAGAAUUUCAUGUCUUUUGUAUUAAAGAAUUAAAUGGAUGAAAUAGGAAGUUUUAUUAAAAGAAAAAGGGGUGAAAGGAACAAAGUUUUGUCCAUCUUUGUUCAUCAUAGCUGAAAGUUAGAGAAGAGAAAGGAUAGGAGAAAGCUCUUGAGUAUUCGGUCAUUAGGAGGAGGAAAAUUGAAGGUAAGUUCUUGGUACCUUGCUUCUAUUUUGAGGUUCAUGAGUUCUUCUUGAUUCUACCUUAACUCUUGAAGUAUAUUUUGAUUUUUAGUUGUGUUGUGAGCAUUUAGUCAUGAAUUAAAAUGAAGGAAAUGGUUGUUGUUUCAUGUUCUUUUGAUGAAAAAUGGAAGAUAGGUGAAGUUGAGCCAAACAAAUGAGCAUGCAUGUGCCUUAGAUGUUAAAGGGAAAAAUCAGCUAACAUGUUGUGCUUUAAAAUGAUGAAAUGGAGAUUAUACUUAAGUAAAAUCAUAGAUAUGUGAUGAUUGAUUGGUGAUAUACAUGUUUAAAUAACAUGCAUGCAAGGUAUGUGUGAAAGAGUGAUUUGGUAAUAAAUCUGCUUGGGACAGCAGCAGUAACGUGACUUUGGAAAAUCACCAUAAAUUGUGGGAGAAGAAUUAGAAGCUGAAUAAAUUAUGUAAUUAAAGAUUAUUGAGACUAGUUUCUAAUGAAAUAAACAAGAACAUAUUUUGAAUUCUGUACAAUGAGAAAUUUGAUUCGUAAUGAAGGGUGGUCAGAUUAGUCAAACAGAGAAACAUGGGAAACUUUGAGAAAAUUCUGGUAUUGAUUGGCUAAACCAAAAAUUCUGAAAAUUUUAUGGAUAGAAGAUAUAUGAGUCUAUUUUCAGGGAAAAUUAACGGAACUUGAUUUGGAGUUUCGUAGCUCUAGGUAUAAAUAAUUUAGUGACUGUUGCUCAGGAAGACAGCUUGCAGUGGAAUUAUGAUUAUGUGGUAAACAUUGACAAAAAUUUGUUAAUGAGUUGCUUAUUGAUUUCUUAUAAGCUUACUAUGAUCUGUAGGUGUGGUUGGCCGAAUAUUGUAAGGGGUUAAUACGUAGUUUGUAUUUGAAUAGUUAGAUUAACGUGUUAGUAAUCCAAUUAUAGGCGGUUCGUGUGUGGAUCUCGUCAGCAUAUCGUCGCAAAUAGGUGUGUAACUGACACCCUCUCAUAGACUAGAUUGGCAAAAGCCGAAAUGCCGAAAUGCCGAAAAGCCGGUAUUUUAGGAAUUUGCGAGUGUGCGAAUGCUCGUAAGAUAGUUGGGUUUGUAUAUUUGGUAAUCUAAAGUAAUAAACUGCAGUACGCGCGAUUUCGUACAUUUUGAUAAUUUGGGCUUAAUGGGCCAAAGAUCGGGUUCAUGGGCCAACGGGCCCAAUUCAGUAAGUAUGUGCGGUAAGUGUUCUGAUAGUACGUAAAUAGUUAGGAUAUGCAUGAAAACCCUAAAAGUAGCUAAAUUACUAUAAUACCCCUAUGUAUGGAAAAUUACUGUUAUACCCCUAGGUGCAAAAUUACCGUUAUACCCCUAGGGUUAAUUUUGACUGAAAAGCAUGACGAUCUGAUUCUGUAUGAUGUAUGCCAUGAUUAUAUAUCUGUUGCAUGGGGACAUGGGUUAUAUUAUGGAGGAAGCGUUCUGGUGGCUAUGCCACAAAUAUCUGACUUGGUGGCUCUACCACAAAUAUCUGAUCUGGUGGCUCUGCCACAUAUAUCUGUUCUGGUGGCUCUGCCACGAUUAUCUGUAUCUGGUGACUCUGUCACAUUAUCUGUUCUGGCAGCCAUGCUGCAAAUUCUGUGGUGUGUAGCGGUUGGGUGGGUCGAGUUGUCUCCCCACACGGUGUAAGGUUGGUAUGGGGGUGUAUACGGUUGGAUAUGGUUGGGUUUAUGCAUAAACAUGUAAUAUCUGUUCUGUUCUGCUAUGGGCCUAUGGGCUUUAUGCUGAAUUCUGUUCUGGGCUAAGGCCAACUUAUUCUAUUUCUGUGGUUUGAGCUGAUAUAGGCUAUGGUUGGGUUAAUUUACACACUGAGUUUUCCCCAAACUCACCCUUUUUAUUUUCAUCCACGCAGGUAAUCCCCAACCAUAGUGGGCUUGGAGCUGUGAGGGAAUUCGGAGUGGCCACCCAUUCUGAAAGUUUGAUUUUCUUCUGGUGAACUGAACAUCCUUUUAUUUACGUUUGAUGUUUUGGGUUUUUAAAUGUAAUAAGGCCGCUUAAUUAUUUUUGAUGGUUUUAAUAUGUAUUACUAAGAUAGGUAUUACUUAUUUUAACUGUUGAAAUUGGAUAGCUUUAGGGCGCGUUUUCAAAAACAACAAUUGAUUUCAAAAUAACACGACAACAAGCAAAGCUUCCGCAAUGAAAGUAUUUUCCAAAAUUAAUCACUUUUCCUAAAAAUGACUUAAUCAAAUCGGUUUCCUAGAAAUAUCCAUGACGUUAAGGUGUGGCAAUGGCGUUAUGCAUGUUUAGGAUUGGAUCCGAAGGGAGCUUGGUACUUAAGCAGUCCGAUGGACUCACCACCUCUUUUCCGGUUUCCUACCUGGUGCAGAGCUUCCAUUCACCUUAACCCUUAAUGAAUUAAUCUUUUGAACAUCAAGUACGAUUUUCUGGACUUAGAAUGGAAUUUUUUUAAACGUUUUUGAUGUGGCAUGCCGGAUCCGGCCAUAACUUUUGGGCCGGGUUUGGGGUGCUACAUUGAUUGAUUUGGAUUGUUAAUGUAUACCAAUGUGGUUGAGGGAAGCAAUGAAAAGCCGACAAGUGACAUGCCAAGUAGAGCUGUCCAUGGAUUGAGCUCGACCCAAUUCGAAAAAUUGGCCUAAAUUUUUGUCCAAACCUGAUUCAGAUUAUAAAUGUUAAACUUGGGCCUAAAACAAUCCAUAUUUUUUAAUUAGUGAUCAUUGCCUAACUCGACCCCAAUAAAAUUUUAGGCCCGAUUGAUAGGCCCAGCUCAAAAAAUGAACUUAAAUUUUUGCCCAAACCCGACCCAAAUUAUAAAAGUUAAAUCCAAGCUUGGACCCACUUAGCCAUAUAUUUUAGUUGGUGACUGUUUCUUCUUUUUAAUCAACAAUUUUUUUCAAAUAUCUUAAUUUCAUUUCAUUAAAAAAUCAUAAAAAAAUAUAUGAGUAAACCUAUAAUUCUAUGACAUAAGAAGAACAUUUAUUAAACCUCCCCAUUGAUAAAUGGAAGCAAAGAAGAUACAUGAGCAUGAAGUUUAAUUCUUUGCAAAACAAAUAUAUGUACUACAUGAGCAUGAAAUAAAUAGGUUUAAGAGUGUAGGAAGUUUCCAAUUUUUUUUCAAAAAAUAAUCAAGUCAAUUUUUUUUAUACUUAAUCAAUUAGGUACUUAAACUUUUAAAAUGUAUCAAAAAACUCUUUAACUGUUAAUUUUAACAGUUGACCGUUAAAGUUAACCGCCCCUAAUAUUUUUCAAUUAAAGCCAACCACAGCGUGACACGUGAAAAAAAUGAUAAAAAAUAAAAAUCAAUAAAAAUUAUUAAAUUUUAAUAAAAAUAUAAAAAAUAUUAAAAUUUUAUUUAAAAACUUUAAAAAUUAUAAUUUUUAUAACUUUUAUUGGUUUUUAUUUUUUAUAAUUUUUUGCCUCAUGUUACGCUGUGAUUGUGACAUACAAUGACUUUAACAGGAAAAAAUUACUUUAAUGGUUAACUAUUAAAGUUAGCAGUCAAAUGGCCUUUUUUGAUGCAUUUUAACAGUUCAAGCACUCAACUGAGUGCAAAAAAAAAAAACUUAAUUGCUUUUUUGAAAAAAUUUGAGGGUAUUUUUUAUGUAAUUUAAAAGUUUUAAGUACCCAAUUAAGUGAAAAAACACAAGAACUUAAUUUUUUUUUAAAAGUUUGAGAAUUUUUUACACCCUUGAGUCAAAAAAAUAUCAUUGCAGUUUUGCAUUCUUUUUUCUCAAAUUGUAAUGUUAUUCAUAUACAUUACUGCAAAAGAAAUGGGGGGGGGGGGGAGGGGACAAAAGAAGUGUUAUGCAGUGUAAACAUAUCAACCCUAAUGCAAUCUAAUCUAAAAAAAAAAACAAUUAUCGAGCAAGCUAGUGUUGUUGUUAAUAGGAGAUCAAGGAAUCGAGCAACUAGUGGUGAAAUUUGAUUCUGAAAUCUAAAUCUGUUAAACUUAAAUUUUCUAUGCCUUUUUUAGUUUUUCUAUUAAAGAGUGAGCUACAAAAAUAGAGUGUCUAACUACCUAUGGAACGAUGAUAGUGGUGGCUGAUGGAGAAAUUGGCAAGACGACGAGGACAGUGAUGAACACCAGUGACUGAAGAAGCAGCGAGGCGACGACAGUGUCUUGAAUCUUGAUGGAAGAAUGAGUGACUAACGAUAGAGGAAGCAGGGGGACGAUGACAGUGUCUUGAAUCUUGAUGGAAGAACAAGCAACUGACGAGUACGAUUGGUGAGUGGAGGUGGUGAGCAGCGCUAGAUAAUGGCAGUGGUGACUGCGGAGUGGUGAGUAGUAACCGACACUUAGGAAUUUUGUUUGUAGGAAUUGAUUUGGGAUUGGGAAUAAAGGGAUAGGAGGGUGAUUGCCUAACUGGGUGAGGCCGUGAG
Molecule: long non-coding RNA, 4800 nt
Filed under: Gossypium barbadense (sea-island cotton)
Lineage: Eukaryota; Viridiplantae; Streptophyta; Magnoliopsida; Malvales; Malvaceae
Description: long non-coding RNA (GBAR_LNC003286)
Source: RNAcentral